GACGAACGCUGGCGGCGUGCUUAACACAUGCAAGUCGAACGGAAAGGCCCUGCUUUUGUGGGGUGCUCGAGUGGCGAACGGGUGAGUAACGCGUGAGUAACCUGCCCUUGACUUUGGGAUAACUUCAGGAAACUGGGGCUAAUACCGGAUAGGAGCUCCUGCUGCAUGGUGGGGGUUGGAAAGUUUCGGCGGUUGGGGAUGGACUCGCGGCUUAUCAGCUUGUUGGUGGGGUAGUGGCUUACCAAGGCUUUGACGGGUAGCCGGCCUGAGAGGGUGACCGGCCACAUUGGGACUGAGAUACGGCCCAGACUCCUACGGGAGGCAGCAGUGGGGAAUAUUGCACAAUGAGCGGAAGCCUGAUGCAGCAACGCCGCGUGCGGGAUGACGGCCUUCGGGUUGUAAACCGCUUUCGCCUGUGACGAAGCGUGAGUGACGGUAAUGGGUAAAGAAGCACCGGCUAACUACGUG
RNAcentral lists this ribosomal RNA (468 nucleotides) under uncultured bacterium. Its description in RNAcentral is "partial 16S ribosomal RNA". It matches the Rfam family "Bacterial small subunit ribosomal RNA", at positions 28 to 507 of the family's 1533-position model. The record is from RNAcentral.